This 4423-nucleotide long non-coding RNA is filed under the name Homo sapiens (human). RNAcentral's name for it is "non-protein coding lnc-USP36-4:4". The record is from RNAcentral. Lineage: Eukaryota; Metazoa; Chordata; Mammalia; Primates; Hominidae.
UUAUGGAUUCAUUGGCAUCGCCCCCACUGACUUCAUAUGCUCUCCUUAGAGUGUACCCAGCUCCCCCACCACGCUUCAUGCACCUGUUGCUCCACCGCGCCUCCCAGCGUGAGCGCCGCCCGCCCCUCCCCCUGUGGCAUCGUGGUGUCCUUUGACUGUGCUGGCUGGCGAGUUCCCUGUCCUCCCUCACUGGUCUUUCAAAACAGUUUUGGCUGGUUUUGUACAUGUGUCUUUCAUAUGGUUUUUACUUCUAUAGUCAGAAAAACUAAGCAUUUUUCAAAGUCACAUUUAGAAUCAUUCAAUCCUUUCAUGAGCGUGAGUGCCAAGUUCUCCUGUGGGCUUGCUGGACUCCUCUGCUCUGUCCCGGAGCGGGCUGGCCUCAGCCUCGGGAUCUGCAGACACCCCCUUUGGCACUCUGCAGGCACACUGUCCUCAAACCUUCUUGCACCCAGUGCGAGGUGGGACCAUUAGGAUUAUCCCCAUUUCACAGAUGAGGGACACUGAGGCACAGCAAAGUUGAGUAAGUUGUCCAAAACCCCACAGAGGUGGAGCUGGUCCUCAAACCUGAGCAGUGUGACUCAUGCAGCUGCACUGGUAACCACCGUGCAGCCUCAGCUGUCCUUGGCCCUAGAUACUCCUCCCAGUGGAAACAUUGGUGACAACAGGAGCAGGAAGAUGAUCUGGCUGGUGGAUGCCUCCUCCCCAGUAUUGCCAGAAAGGCUUUCGAGGUCAAGUUCAGGACGUGUUUUCCUCUCACGAAGUGCUUUUCCUGGAGUUCCCAGCACCCUCAGUUCUAGUGCCCCUGCGUGUGGGUGGUCCCAGCAUUCGGUUCUGUAGAAUCAGGUGUGUUCUCUAAUGCUGGGACUUUCUUCACGCUGUACCCAGAGGUACAGCAGUAGAACUGCGUGUCAGCGGUAACAGCGGCUGCCAUCGAGUGUGUCGGCUAGGCGCUGAGAUGUGCUCUUUGAAUAUGGGAUCUCUUUUUGACUCUCCGGAACCCAGGGAGGUGGAGGUGGGGCAUCUCCAGCUUGCAUGUGAGGAAGCGGGAGUUGAGAAGCAGCAGGCAGGGCCAGGCAGGGCCGGGCCUGGGGCCUGGUGUCCGACCGCAGCCCAGCCCCCCUCAUCGCCUGACACUCUGCCUCUGCACACAGGGCAGUGCCACACGCACCUCUCUGCAGAACCCCCCAGCUUACCCGAAAGGGUUGGCCUACCCAGGAAGCCAAGGGAGAUUCACCCCAACACCUCCAAACAUGAAAGCAGGUGUCCCGGCCGCCAGAUUCCCUCGUGAAAGCACUUCAGGUGGUCAGACCGCUUCCCAGUGAGAUCCCAUCGGGACAUGUUUCUAGUGCUCUUCAGUUCCUAGCAUUCCCCGGGGAGCUGCGGAAGCAUUUUCUCAUGGACACACUGUCUCUUGUGAAUAGGUUCCAGGUCAGCCCAGGAGAGCCAUAGCAGCUGCUGGUGCCACCGUUCAGCAGGGGUGAGUGCCCUGCCUGCAGUCAGGAGGCUUGUGCCCGAGCUCUGGAACAAAUCAUCACUUAGGAUACAGCUUCCCUGGAAAGAAAUUAAGUGUCAGGACUUUUAGACCAUAAGUUGCUUGAAAGUCGAGAAUGGCAGACAUAGGGUUGUGGUGUUGCCAGUCCACUGCAGGUGCUCCAGCCCGCGGCGCGGCCUGCGCUGCUGUCUUUGAGGCUGUAGCACAAGCAUGAGCUCGGGCCCCCUCCCUGUGCACCGGAGACCCAGCCAGGUCCAGCCGGUCUGUCCAUGGUGCCCCACCAGCAGCAUCGUGCUGGGCAGUGCCGCCUGCAGAGUCAUGGAGCCUUAGUUACUGAGCAGGUGCACGUGGGGGGCUUGGAAGGCCCCACUGCAUUACCAUGCCAGCUAUCACACACCCCGUGCCAGAGGACUGCAUGUGACACGGCUUGAUUACGUGGCACUCGCUGCUGCAAAGCAAAGUCAGAUGUCAUCAUGGAAACUCAAGCACCAGUCUUUUUCUCUGAAUUGGAAUAUAGCUGUAAGAAUGUGGUAUGAUUCUGUUCCUAAAUGUGAAUUGAUUAUUAUGUUGAAACAGGUAAAAACCCCAAAAUUUUCUUGUCACGUGUUCCUGUGUCUCUUUCGAAGUGUGUCACCUUAGGUCACUGUGUGGACACAGCAAGGGUGGAGGACGCUAACUUGGCCUUUGCAGUGAUGGUGGGGUGGGACAGGUGUUCUGGGGCACGAGGGGCCCCUGAGAAUCCCCUGCCUGGGUGUGUUUCUUCUGAUUCUGUCCCUCACGUCUCUGUUUUCUCCCUUUUCUGUGCUCCAGAGCAGCCAUCAGCAGGGACCCUUUCUACGAAAUGCUCGCAGCACGGAAAAAGAAGGUCUCCUCCACGAAGCGACACUGAGCGUGCAGCCAAGGGCGUUGGUCUGCGGGGGCCUUGGAGCUCCUGCUCUUCUCCCGCACCUCCAUGGAUGCACUGCUGCCGAGCAGAGCGUCCUCUGCCAGGCCCCGCCCUGGAUUCCUAGAGACUAGCUUCAGCUUUUGCUAUUUUUUUUAAGUGGGAGAAGGGUGGGCAGUUAUCACUGGGGAAGAGAGGACCGGCCACCUGUCCAGCAUGGGCUCCAGAGCCUUCCUCUCUCACAGGGCAGAGCUCUUGUCGGCAGGGCAGCCUCCUGGCCAGUUUCUCUGCUCAGUGUUCUGGUAGCAGAGCUCAGAGCCAACUGUUUACCUCUUGGUUGUCCCCGUGAAGAAGCCUUCAAACCCUGCACCAUAAAUACAUGUGUCCAUAUAUUAUUAUAUGUUAAGAGAAAAAGGUGGAAAGGAAGAGAAGCCACAUACUAUAAAGAUCUAUUUUUUUUUUUUUAAGAGAGAACGUAGGGCUGUUCAGGUGCAUUCUGCCCUGGCUGCGCUGGGGAGCUUCUCCCUGGAGAAGAGCACCUGGGGCUGCGGCCAAGGGGCAUCAGCCUGGGCCCGCGGCAGGGCCUGGCCUGCCUCUCCUGUGCUGUGGGAGCUCGCUGCCUGGUGCUUGUCUGGGCGAGAUGGACAGGUGAGGUCGAGGACGCAGAGGGCAGAGGCCCAGUGGAGCCUCAGACGGCACAGUCAGAGUCGGGGGCCUGCCCUGGCCGGGGUCGCAGUCGGCAGCAGCGUGCAGUCCGGCAUCUCCCGCGGAUGCUUUUCCAUCCCAAGUGCCUGCGGAGCGCCGAGGAGAGGAGAGAGCUGACUGGACGCUUACGUUAUUUUCCUCCUUCAGAAUCCAAGUUCUUGUUGGGCUUUAAAGUAGAAAGUCAGCAUUUUCCUUGAGCUAAAUACCUAAUAACCAAAACUGUGAGGAAGGUUAUCGGGACAGAGGUUCCGGAUAACCUGUUUCAUUUUGGGUUUUCUUCCUCUUCCCCAGACUCCAGUCCUCGUUCUAGAGGAAGGAGUAGGACUUCCCCGAUCCCCGUAGGGCUUCAGCUUUUUCUGCCUCAAAACCAGCCCUAACUGGACUACUCUGGAUGCAUUUUGUGGUGGGCCCCCUAGAGGGGAAGAUGGGCCUUUAUCUGCUCCGUGGGGUGCACUGGAGUGAGGGGGGUGGCCGGGCUGCCUCUCGCAUCUCUGUCUUCCCCUGCAGGCGCUGUGUGAGCUGGCCCUGCCCCUCCUCAUUACAGUAUGAAGGGAGCCGUGACACGCAGCAUUUUCCUGCCGUUCUCUCAGGGACUCUCAGGGCAGCUCCUGCCACUCCGCCAGGGCCAGCAUGCCAGUCCAGGCAGAGCAGGUGGCUGGCUGUCUGGCCGUCUCGCCCCGCCCCUCCACAGGACCCUGGACCAGGGCGGUGCAGGGCGCAGCCCUGAGGAGGCAGGUGGAGGAGCUGCGGGUUUUCACAGGGCCGCGUCGCCACGGCUCCUCUGAUCCUUUAGGGUUGGCGAGCAUCUCUGGAAAUAGCUUUUGCAGAGGAGUGGUGGGAGGAAUAGAGGGGGACAGUCUGUCACCUCCCUCCCCGCCACUUUGUGUAGAUCCUACCUGGAGGGAAUGGCUUUAGGCACUUUUGUGCCAGAGCUUGUGAGGGUGACAGAAGAGGGUCCAGGCUGGAAACCUGAACUUUCUGGGUGGGAGAACCAGGUGGUGCCUGCCGAGGUCUGGGCGUGUUUGGGCCGGUGCUGGAGCCUGUCCAGCUGGCCCGGGCCCUGGCCUGGUUCUCAAGUGUUUCCUAGACAGAGAGGCACCUGGGUCAGUAUUAGUCUAUUUAUCAGAGGUGUAAAUAAUCUAUGUAUAGUUUUUCUCCUUUUAGAUUAUUUUGUAUUUGUUUAAAAGAAGUUUUGUCAAAAUACAAAAAUAUAAAGAAAUGACUGAAAGUUGUUGACAGGGUUUUUAAGAAAUAAUUAUUCUAAUUGUUUUUGUUUGUUUGUUUUUGCCUUGUAAACUAGCGCCAAGGAACUGCAGCAAAUAAACUCCAACUCUGCCCAAGCC